CUUUCUCCCUCCCUGUGUCAGAAGCAUGAAGAGAUUUUCUUCCUACACUCACGAUGAGAACCUGGUGGAGCUCCUAAAGAUUGGCUCUCCUGAUGGUUGCACGAUGGCUGCAGCAGUUCCAGAUGUCCCAUCGAGACACAAAAAGAUCCCAGAUGGAAGAUGCCAUCUCCUCCUAUGUGCCUCUUUUUAAGAGUUACACAGGAGUGAGGAGGACCACCAAACCAAACUAAGACUCGGAGGAAAAAAAAAAAAGAAAAAGAAGAAAAUGUCUGCUAGGUGCCAUGCCACUCAAACAGCCAAUGGAAAGGCCCACGUGGCGAGAGCUAAGGCUUCCUGCCAACAGGCAAGUGAGGAAGCCCAGUCAGCUGCCUGCAGUCCUGACCCAUGAAGAGCCUGACUGAAAGUGAAUGAGCAACCCUGAGCUAGGACAACCCAGCAAGGCCCAUCCUGAAUUCCUGCCCACAAAAACUCUGAGACAGUAAAUGUUCGUUGUUUUAAACCACAAAGUUUUGAAGUAAUAGAUUAAUUAGGUAACCAAUUGGGACUGCAGUAUUCCUUCAGGGAACUUGAAUAGUCAUUCUGUAUAUGGAAAUUGUACACAUCUUAAAAUUGCUGGACUAAAGUGAGAAGAGACUGUCUUGAGUCAACUGGAUAAAGUGGAAAAAAAAUUAAUUUGGAAAUCAAUAGAAUUCUGGCCUUGGCUUUGUCACUAAGAAACACUUAUAAGUAAUUUCACUUCUCUUGAAAUUAUGAUCAUUAUCUAUAACAUAAAGGAACUGAGCUAAAUGUUAUCUGAUGCCUCUUUAGGCUCUCAAACUCCAUAGAUUUAUGACAUGCUUGAAAUUCACUUUGUUUCACCCUAAUUCAGAGCUUUGUUUCACUAGCUCUAGAAUUAGAUGCCUUGGGUUUAAAUUGCAAUUCAGUCACUUAUUUAAAUAAUUGUACUUGGAUGAGUGAUGUUGCCAUUUUAAGCCUCAGUUUCCCCAUAGAUUCAUUGAGAAGAUCAAAUAAGAUGAUGCAGAUAAAGCUCUUAGUUUGUGGGGACACUUAGUAAGUGCUUAAUAAAUACAGGCAGUUGUGUUAUCUAUGUUGUAGCAGCACAUUUUGUAAAAUAAAACAAAGUUGAAAUCACAGAUCUAUAUUUUUAUGUA
Molecule: long non-coding RNA, 1151 nt
Filed under: Homo sapiens (human)
Lineage: Eukaryota; Metazoa; Chordata; Mammalia; Primates; Hominidae
Description: HSALNT0322711
Source: RNAcentral